GGUGAGAAGAUACUUGUAGGAGGAGCUAUAGCUACUGUUGUUGCACCUGUACUUCAAGGAUGGAGUAGUUCUUGGCCUGGUUGUUGUGCUACAUCCCAAGUCGUAUUGGCGUGGCGACAACAUCCAGCGCAGCUAUUUCCAUUGCCGAUGACCAGUGAUGCCGUUACAUGCCCUGCUUCUUGGGCCAUCCCGCAGCAUGUACUGGCAGCCGAGAGCCACCCCUGCCCCUGCCUAGCUGCAGGACAACCCUAGUUUGCUGCUGCCUGGCUUCAUCGACGUGGUUGUGCCAUUGGAAGUGACACACGUGGAGAUGCACUGGAUCUGUACGAGAACAUGCAGACCAAGGCGGAGGCGGGUUUAGGAAUGCCGACUAGCUCCACUUGGACAACGCUGGGGACAAGAACGACUACGGCUCAUACCGUGAGAAGAUACUGGCACGAGGAGCUGCGGCUACGGCUACGGCUGUUGCACCUGUACUUCGAGGAAGGAGUAGUGCUUGGCCAGGUUGUUGUGCUACAUCGCAAGUGGUAUUGGUGUGGUGACAACGUCCAGCGGAGCUAUUUCCAUUGCCGAUGACCAGCGAUGCCGCCACGUGCCUGCUUCUCGGGCCAUCCCGCAGCAUGUACUGGCAGCCGAGAGCCACGCCUGCCCCUGCCUUGCUGCAGGACAACCAUAGUUUGCUGCUGCCUGGCUUCAUCGACGUGGUUCUGCCAUGGGAAGUGACACACGUGGAGAUGCACCUGUACUUGGAGGAAGGAGGAUUGCUUGGCCCGAUUGUUGUGCUACAGCGCAAGGGUUAUUGGUGUGGCGACAAUGUCCAGCGCAUCUAUUGCCAGUGCCGAUAACCAGCGAUGCCGCCACAUGCAUGCCCUGCUUCUUAGGCCUUCCCGCAGCAUGGACCGGCAACCAAGAGCCACCCUUGCCCCUGCGUAGCUGCAGGACCUGCAACCAAGAGCCACCCUUGCCCUUGCCUAGCUGCAGACAACCCUAGUUUGCUGCUGCCUGGCUUCAUCGACGUGGUUCUGCCAUUGGAAGAUUAUGUCCCGGGAGUUCUGCUCAUGACGACUUGAUGAGUAUAUAACUUGCAAGUUUCUUACAAACCAGCCCAAUGAAAUUUAUCGUCUUGAGCUCCAUGGUUUUGGCGUAGGUGCUGGUUGCAAGAGCUGAUUAUGUUUUCCCACUAUCCCAUCUGUCCAUUUGACAAAAUUAAAACUACAGGCGAGAAGAUCUCUACUAGGCAGCAAGUGAGCGUCUAAUAUAUAGCAACAUCUUACAUGAUGUGGGCCAUUAAGAUUAUUAUUUGGUGGGCUGGUCCCACAAGAGGCGAUGUGUCCUUUGCAUUGGCGGACAAUAAGGUCCUAGAAGCCUGGGUGGUGUGGCUGAAUCCAUAAACUUGUUCCUCCAGGUGCGCCGCCUCGGUAACAAGGAGGUCGACCAACUGCGGCUCCUCUCCUCUGUUGCCGGGGGCGGCGCGCUGCUGGUGCUGCUUAUUGACCCCUUUGCCUCCACCGCCGCUGUGAUGGCGACGAUGCGCAGUGGGUUUUUCAGGAGAGAAACUUCAACCACUCACGACGCAUGGACAAAGAACGGCUACAAGUCGUAGAUGAAUGUUGCUGCCUAUUCUAAAAAAAACACUUCAACUUUGUAGGCUGGUAGUUGAAUGGCUAAUCAUUGCUCAGAUUCAUAGUUUUAAAUAGCCAGCUAUAGGAUAUGACCUGUGAAAAAAGGCUAUAGCCGCAUCUUGCUCGAAAGGCUAUAGCUAUAGCCGGCUAUUUAUAACUAUUAGGUCACAGUCAUCUAUCUUUAAAAGAGAUUGUGCUUGAAAAUUUCUUGGCAAUGAUUAUGUUUCUGAGAUACAUGCUAUUAGAGGCAGGGUGAAAUUAAACAUGCUAGCCAAACAACGUGUAGCCCUUCACUUGGAAUCAUAUGCAUGCCAGAAGCAACACACCAUUAUAAUUGACAAGUUGACCGGUUCCAAGUCGCAGAAAUUGUAGUUAUUGUUUUCUUUUUCAAAGGGGAGUCAUGGCAGGCUUGAUUUAGUGAGUAUUAUGUUCUAAUUAUUAUCUUCAUUUGUGAUAAUGAUCACAUAAUUUUUACUUAAAUGACAUGGUUUCUUGUGCAUUUUUUUAUUGAUAAUACCUUUUGUACAUGCUGCCAUUUUCAAUUUCCUUGAUGUCCUAAAUUUACUUGAUUUGUAUAACUGGCAGAUCCUAGAAGCUUGGGUGGUCUGGUUGCAUGCUUGCCGCGGCUUCCUGCACCUCGCCGCGUGGUUGUAGGCCUUUGGCUUCGACUACUGCAGGCCUCCCCGCCGUGUGAUCGUAGUGAGUUCACCGUGUCGCAACCGUUGCAGUGGUGGCUUCUUCUUUGUGUCCACAGUUAAGGUACCAUCUAAUUAUUGUUAUGGAUUUUGGUACCACAUGCGUGCGCCCUGACUCCCACGCCUGCAUCGCGCUCACUGGGUCCCAGAUGACAUCCUCGACACAAUGAUAUGGCCACUACUGGGUCGCAACGUCUUUAACACCAUGCAGCAGGUGUUGCCUCAAGGCUGGUGGACAAGCAUGUGUCAACUGCUUCGAGAGCUUCACCCGGCUCCUCCAUAUCAUGCUGCAGAAUGGGUUGAGAUGAUUCUACGUAGGUAUAACUAUUUAUACACAGACACACAAGCUGAGAAACGCCAAUGGUCAGACCUGGACUGUGUAUGUAGACUGAAGGAAUCACAAAGCUCCAGGGUUGUGAUAGUUGCAGCCACGACACACUAUUUUGCAGGUUCCGUUGCUUGGUCUGGUGCAUCACGGGAGGGUCUUGACGCUGCCUGGUGUUGAGCAGGAUGUCGUGGCCUGGUCUACCGCGUACUCCAUUGCUGACUUGCUGCUUCUUUGGCCUGCCGUGACCUGGCAUGCUCUGUUGUUUUCUGCAUCUUGGCUGGCCGUGG
Molecule: long non-coding RNA, 2932 nt
Organism: Lolium rigidum
Lineage: Eukaryota; Viridiplantae; Streptophyta; Magnoliopsida; Poales; Poaceae
Exons: 12
Source: RefSeq, a predicted model, not a curated record